Molecule: long non-coding RNA, 589 nt
Organism: Pezoporus flaviventris
Lineage: Eukaryota; Metazoa; Chordata; Aves; Psittaciformes; Psittacidae
Exons: 2
Source: RefSeq, a predicted model, not a curated record
CCAGAAGACCUGGCUAGCUUUGUGACACCAGCAGGACUUUGAGCAACCUAGGUGGAGCUUUGAGCAACCUGGUCUAGUGGAGGGUGCCCCUGCCCAUGACCAGGGGUUGGAACUGGAUGAACUUGAGUGUCCCUUCCAACCCAAAUCAUUCCAUGUUUCUAUGUUCAGUGCAGCCACUGGCUUCCCAGCCUAGAGCUCAGAUGAAACAUGAAGCUCUGCCAUGCCACUCGGUGGUGGCUCUCUGGGGAGCGUGGGAAUAGCUGGGACAGGGCUGAUCUGCACUCUCCCUUUGGCUCUGAACUCCUUGUGGGAAGCUUGUGGGAUCUGGGUAAGUGUUCUCUGCCUGCCAGGUGAGGUUUUGCAUCUGGCAGGUAAAGCUUCAUGUGGAGGGGCUUGGCUUUAUUCUCAGCUGUAGUGCUGCAGUAACCCCGCAGAGACAUUACGUUGUUAAAUAAACAGACUUGAUUUGCUUUGCUCAUCAGGGGUUUGACCCUGCAGCCUCAUCCCACAGCAUUAAGCACUGACAGUGAUGCAAGAAGUGGAAACAAUUUUCCUCUUCCGCAUCUUCAAUAAAUAACAUUCCCCCAAG